This is a long non-coding RNA of Amphiprion ocellaris (clown anemonefish), 757 nucleotides long. RefSeq lists it as uncharacterized. The transcript is spliced from 2 exons. The record is from RefSeq and is a predicted model, not a curated record. NCBI's taxonomy places the organism in Eukaryota, Metazoa, Chordata, Actinopteri, Pomacentridae.
UCAGUUUAGGCACCAAAACUAUGCUCUGGAGGAGGCCAGAUAUGGGGAGCGCCGGCUCACCAAGAGCGUGGAACAACUGAGCCAGAUUACUGGCUGGAAUGCUGACGGGGCCGAGAGGUCUGACUUUACUGCCUUUAUCUGAAGCUUUCAACCAAAUCUCAGCAGAUAAAGUUGGCUUGAAUUCAUUUCAGUUGGACUUUACCCAGAUCUGGGAAUUCUGCUUUGUCUUUUAUUGAAUAUCAUCAGGCUGUAAACAAACACAGCUAAAAAAUUAACAUCAUAUGUCGGCUCAAAGAACUUCAAAUAGUGAGUAAAAGACCAUACACAUUGUAAACAGGGAUAUUUGUGAAGUCUUUUGCACAAAAACAGCCUCUCCUUUAUACAUUGUGUACUCUAGCUUUAACCACCAAACUACUAAGUGACCAGCUGGUUUUAAACGUGUGUGACAGCCAAUCAGGAUGAGGAUAAGAGCAUCACCAGCUGAGUCUUUUCUUUGUUUAAAGUUUUGAUUCUGAAUGUAGAAAACAGAAGAAAAAAAUGUUUUCACCCUCGAUAAAGAGAAACACUAGAAGUUCUAAUGUUCUGCUGCCUGGAAGCUUUUAGAGAUUCUGCUGGAAAUAAAUAUCCAGCUUGAUUACUGAUCAUUUUGUCUUAGACUGAAAACAAGAUGAGAGGUUAGAAAACUGACUGAGGGCUGAAACCGGCACCAUGGAAAUGUUAAAUACUUCCUGAAUAAAUAAAAAACUCCAGGAUCUUG